RNAcentral lists this ribosomal RNA (168 nucleotides) under Acentrogobius caninus (tropical sand goby). RNAcentral's name for it is "partial 12S rRNA". Lineage: Eukaryota; Metazoa; Chordata; Actinopteri; Gobiiformes; Gobiidae. The record is from RNAcentral.
CACCGCGGUUAUACGAGAGGCCCAAGUUGACAAAACUCGGCGUAAAGCGUGGUUGAUAGUAUAAAACACUAAAGCCGAACACCUUUAAAACCGUCAUACGUACUUAAAGGCAGGAAGACCUACAACGAAAGUGGCUUUAAUAAAUAUGAACCUACGAAAGCUAAGACA